RNAcentral lists this transfer RNA (74 nucleotides) under archaeon GW2011_AR15. RNAcentral describes it as "tRNA-Ile". It matches the Rfam family "tRNA". Rfam says of the family: Transfer RNA (tRNA) molecules are approximately 80 nucleotides in length. The record is from RNAcentral. RNAcentral also lists the same sequence under 1 other name.
GGGCCUGUAGCUUAGCCUGGUGGAGCGAUGGUCUUAUAAGCCAUUGGUCGGCGGUUCAAAUCCGCUCAGGCCCA